Non-coding RNA from Cinara cedri, 233 nucleotides. Lineage: Eukaryota; Metazoa; Arthropoda; Insecta; Hemiptera; Aphididae. The record is from the annotation of a GenBank genome assembly.
CCCUCCGAAAACUCGUAAAUAUAUACGUAUGUAUACAGGGUGAUUCUUUUUUACCAUUGUGAACAGGCGAUUGUUAUCUACGCAAGUACAUUUUGAUUUUCCUCCUACACUUUUCUUUAAAAUAUAGUUUAACUUUUGUAACUCGUAAACGAUAAAGAAGUUGCCCCGACUAUGUACGUACCUAUAUUAGUGUUUUGCGUUAACGGGAUUUUUAUAGAAAAUAUUUCAUUUUC